This 338-nucleotide long non-coding RNA is filed under the name Salmo salar (Atlantic salmon). RNAcentral describes it as "lncRNA (ENSSSAG00000105457.1)". Lineage: Eukaryota; Metazoa; Chordata; Actinopteri; Salmoniformes; Salmonidae. The record is from RNAcentral.
CACCAUGCUAUGGAGGAUGGUGUAGAUGUGCCUGGGUCUAGUCAGGUUAUAGAUGGUGCUGUAGAUGAGGCUGGGUCUAGUCAGGUUAUAGAUGGUGGUGUAGAUGAGGCUGGGUCUAGUCAGGUUAUAGAUGGUGGUGUAGAUGAGGCUGGGUCUAGUCAGGUUAUAGAUGGUGGUGUAGAUGAGGCUGGGUCUAGUCAGGUUAUAGAUGGUGGUGGUGUAGAUGAGGCUGGGUCUAGUCAGGUUAUAGAUGGUGGUGUAGAUGAGGCUGGGUCUAGUCAGGUUAUAGAUGGUGGUGGUGUAGAUGAGGCUGGGUCUAGUCAGGUUAUAGAUGGUGG